RNAcentral lists this ribosomal RNA (930 nucleotides) under Mesobacillus jeotgali. RNAcentral's name for it is "bacterial SSU rRNA". It matches the Rfam family "Bacterial small subunit ribosomal RNA", at positions 60 to 972 of the family's 1533-position model. The record is from RNAcentral. Lineage: Bacteria; Bacillati; Bacillota; Bacilli; Caryophanales; Bacillaceae.
AGUCGAGCGGAUCUUCAUUAGCUUGCUUUUGAAGAUCAGCGGCGGACGGGUGAGUAACACGUGGGCAACCUGCCUGUAAGACUGGGAUAACUUCGGGAAACCGGAGCUAAUACCGGAUAAUCCUUUCCCUCACAUGAGGGAAAGCUGAAAGACGGUUUCGGCUGUCACUUACAGAUGGGCCCGCGGCGCAUUAGCUAGUUGGUGAGGUAACGGCUCACCAAGGCAACGAUGCGUAGCCGACCUGAGAGGGUGAUCGGCCACACUGGGACUGAGACACGGCCCAGACUCCUACGGGAGGCAGCAGUAGGGAAUCUUCCGCAAUGGACGAAAGUCUGACGGAGCAACGCCGCGUGAACGAUGAAGGCUUUCGGGUCGUAAAGUUCUGUUGUUAGGGAAGAACAAGUACCGGAGUAACUGCCGGUACCUUGACGGUACCUAACCAGAAAGCCACGGCUAACUACGUGCCAGCAGCCGCGGUAAUACGUAGGUGGCAAGCGUUGUCCGGAAUUAUUGGGCGUAAAGCGCGCGCAGGCGGUUCCUUAAGUCUGAUGUGAAAGCCCCCGGCUCAACCGGGGAGGGUCAUUGGAAACUGGGGAACUUGAGUGCAGAAGAGGAGAGCGGAAUUCCACGUGUAGCGGUGAAAUGCGUAGAGAUGUGGAGGAACACCAGUGGCGAAGGCGGCUCUCUGGUCUGUAACUGACGCUGAGGCGCGAAAGCGUGGGGAGCGAACAGGAUUAGAUACCCUGGUAGUCCACGCCGUAAACGAUGAGUGCUAAGUGUUAGAGGGUUUCCGCCCUUUAGUGCUGCAGCAAACGCAUUAAGCACUCCGCCUGGGGAGUACGGCCGCAAGGCUGAAACUCAAAGGAAUUGACGGGGGCCCGCACAAGCGGUGGAGCAUGUGGUUUAAUUCGAAGCAACGCGAAGAACCUU